Molecule: non-coding RNA, 3983 nt
Organism: Camellia sinensis
Lineage: Eukaryota; Viridiplantae; Streptophyta; Magnoliopsida; Ericales; Theaceae
Source: RefSeq, a predicted model, not a curated record
AUUAAAAAAUUCAAUAAAAAUAAAAAAAAAUUAAUUUUUAAAAAAUUGAAUCUUGAAAAUCUAAACCAAAUUGAAUAAUUUUCCCUUAUAAAACCGGAAGAAAAAAUAAAAUAAAAGACCGUAAAUAACUCGCACUCUAUAUCAUCACAUAGCAUAUAUAUACAGUGACAAAACCCUAAAUCUCAUUUCUUCCCACUAUUGCUGCCGUCGCGUUUCCUCGAGACUGCUCGGCUGAAGCCAAAGCCUCGAUUCAUCCACCAUGAAGUUCAAUAUCGCCAAUCCGACCACUGGCUGCCAGAAGAAGCUUGAAAUCGACGAUGAUCAGAAGCUGUGAGUUUAUUUUCCUCGGAAAUUUUUGUUAUAAAUACACGCACAUUCAAAGAAGUUUUUUUUUUUUUCCUUCUUGAUUUGUUCUUGAAAAUGCUUACUUUUUGGUUAAUAUAGUUGGUGGUAAGAAAAUUUGGAUACUAGCUUUUACUCCAUAUGAAACAUUCUCGUGGCAUAGGAAUUUUUGUUGUAUGUAGAGUCAUAAGAACAGUAAUGUUGUAGAGAAACCCAAAAUCAAAUAUCAUUGGCAGGGUGUUUCACUUGUUGAAAUGUUGGAUUUAGGUUUAUUGUUCCAAAUGGCUGUAGAAAGGUAUUGUGGAACUCAACUUCAUUGUUGUGUACUCAUUGCAAUGGUAAAACAUAGAUUCGGCUUUCAAUUACUGAUUUUUUUUUCUUUCAUACCUUUCUGUCAAUUCCCAUGUCAGAUUUUAAGAAUUUAGUUGCUGUUUUUUUCUCUGGGUGAAGACUUGUUUUUAAUGUAAUUUCAAUCCCAAGAUGUUUAGGCUGUGUUUGGUUUAUUGAUUUGGGUAGAGAUUUGGAAAGAGAAAGGGGAAAGUUGUGUGAAAUAUACCUUUUCCCUUUCCAAAUUCUUUGCCCAAUCCAUGAACCAAACACAACCUUAAGGUUUCAUUGCAUACUGUGAUCACUUGCUCAAUCCAUCUUACAAGCCCUCUGCAAAAGCAUGAAGUUCUAAAGUUUUAACUUUUCAACCACACAAACAACCUACUGGCUUGAAAUGAGUAGAGUAACCUGUUCACAUUUCGUAGUAGCUUUUGAGGUACCUGGGUCACAUGAAAUGCAUGACCUUUUGCUUCUUUUUUUCUAAUGUAUAGUCAUGACGUCCAAACCUACAACUUCUGUAUGAUGAGGUGCAAGUGAAAUUAUUGAAUAUAUUUCAAUGAAGAAAAUGGGUGAUAGAAGAAAUGAAAGACAAAAUGGCAUGACAUGCUUGUUAUUUAUUUAUUUAUUUGUUUCUUUAAAAACUCUUCCCCCAGUUCCCUUAUAUUCAGAUAAAAUUUCUUAUGUGGCUAUAAAUUCCUUAUUUGUUUGCAUGUAUUUGGAUGUCCUUUAAAAAUUUAAUGGCCCUUCGCUGUUUUAUGCUACUAUCUCUAGUGGAAGUAUUUUUCUUUUUUGGGUGAAUAAUCUCUAGUUGAAAUACACAAUGUUGAAAGGAGGCAUUUGAUAGAGUGAAAUUCAUUCAAUAAAGAAUGGGAAUUUUUAACUUGCUUUCUCAUAAAGCUUUAAAAUGGACUCAUGGUUGCUGUUUUUUUUAAAGGCCUCAUUUUAGAUGACAAAUUUUGAUCUUCAUGUUUCACAGAAGCACAAUGGGGCAGUUCAUAUUCUAGUAAUAUCAAAUGCUUUCCCAGUCUUGCUGGAAUCAGGCGGGGAAAUCUUUAGGCCUUUGGAGUCAAUUUCUUUUCAUAUUUUAACUUUAUUGCAGUUGAACAAAUUGACAUCUUGAUUUUUUAAUAUCUCAUCAUCACCACUGUUAGAACAUUCACUACUACAAAAAGGGCAAACGAGCCCUAGCCGUUCGCAAAGCAAUGUAUAGUCCUGUCUAUGCACGUAUAUGUAUUCACCACCUUCACCACAUCUCCUAAAUUUCUUUAUUUUUUUAUUAUUUUAUUUUAUUUUUAUUGGCUGUUGUGUUUCUGGUUCUAGUUCUAGACCCACUUUGAUUUGUUUUGUUGUUUUUAUGGCCUGUUGUGUUUCUUGUUCUAGACCCACUUUGAUUUUGUUUUGUUGUUUUGUUUUUCUAUUGGAUAUUCUGUUGAUUCAGUCCUUAUGUUGGGUGUGUAUUGUAAUGUUUGACAAAAAAUAGCAUAGAAAACAUGAACCAGCUUAGAUUACCCAAACUUGUAGGAAUGGGCCAUAAUUUAAAUGGGGUUUGAUUGAAAUUUGUAAAUUUUUAAAAAGGGAACAUGUAAGAGUUUCUGAAUUAAUUCUGGUUAUGUCAAAAUUCUGGGAAUAGAUAUUGAUUAUGGUUGUCUUCAUUGCUGCUUGUUACCUUGAACACCUAAUGACAUUUAUAUCUGGGCAGAACCUCAUUAUUUUUCUUCUCUUCUCUUCAUUUCCCCCCAUUUCUUCUUUUUCCAGCUCACUAUUUCAGAAUUUUAUUUUUUUUUGUUAGGUCAUUUUUUCUGCUAAUUUUUUUCCUUUUGCUUCCAGGUUCUAGUUUUCUUCUCUUGUCCUUCAUAUUCUCUGAUUUUCUGCUCUGUUUUGCUGAUUUUCUGCUUUGGUUUUCUCCUCCCUUCUACUGGUUUGUUGCUAUCUUGAAAUUGGAACAAUUGUUGUGGAGUUCUCAUGCAUAAAAGUUCCAAAUUGAGAAUAACAAAGCUUAAAAUGAGAAGUAGACCAAGCAUAGAAAGUAUCUUGAGGGUUAUGCAACCUCGUUUUCAGGUUUCAAGAAAAAUAGGUCAGUUCCUGCAUUUUCGAUGUAUAACAGAAAGUUACGAAAGAAUCACGAACAAUGUCAAAUUUCAGGUGUCCUUCGACAUGAAAACAAACUAUUUAAAUGACAAUUAGUGGUUUUGGAGUUUAGAAAUAGAUUAUAAAUGAAGAUCACAAACAAAUGGAAAACAAAAUUUGAUGUCAAAGACCCAACUAAUGGAGCUUGAAAAGGGGAAAGGGGAAAAAAAAUUAAUAAUAAUUUCCUACCAUUGAUGUUGAUGUGAUGUGUAGGAUUGAGAUGUUUACUUUUUUGAUAUUUGUGGGAUUAUAGACAGUAUGGAACGAGGGAGAGCAAAGAAGUUACAGUUAAUGGAGAGAGUUCAAUUUGAUUUGCUUCAAGUUAUGCUCAUUGGGAUUGUUUUCUAUGCUCUCUCAGAUUGGUUCAUGGUGGUAUAUUCAUGAAGAUUUUAUCAAAACCGAAAAUUUAUACUAUCACUCUAAUUGUGCAGGUUAUGCAAAGGGAUUAUAAACUCAGUUCGUAUUCAUUGAAUUCUGUUUCAGCACGCUUUGUUAAUGAGCAGGCAAGAAAACCUUUUUCUUUUCUCCGUUCAAUUGGAUUUGCAGCCGGUACUUCUGUCUGUGCCAAGUAACAAGUCCUCGCAUCCUACAUUUUAUCUUUGUGCUUGUGCCUUUUUGUGACUUGAAUUACAUUACUCUCUUUGUUGUUAAGCUUGCUCAUCUUUGUUUAAGCACACUAUUUGAUCACUUAAUCUCAUAUUCAUGAUGUCUCUACUACUCUCUGCUACAAUGUUAAAUCUAUAUACUAUGUUAUAAUGGCAGGGAUACGUGGGAUCUAAUAAGAAAAGAAAUAGAGUUCUUCAUUCAGUACUGAAGUCCACUAUAUAGCCAUGUUUCAUCCACACACAAACUCUCUUAUGUACAACAAGGUUGCUUCAAAACAAAAAACCAUCUACAAAAAACACUGAAGUUAGAUGUGCUUUUCGAAUUUCGUUAACACUUCAAUUAGGACCCCAAUAGCUCAAAUACAUCACUGUCCAGAGAGAUUCCUCAGCUUGUUUGUAUCUGUUAUCAUUGCUAUCCUUAUCAGCUUUGUUAUAGGCCAAUUGAUUAUAAGCACCGACAUUUGUUCUCACCUGCUUAGAAGAUCCAGAAGGGAAGGCAGAAGUAGAAGCAGAGUCAUGACUUGCUUUCAUGGCUAAGUCACACUUCGGAGACUUCUCUUUGAUUCUCUGCAUCACUGGUAA